UGGGGAAUUUUGGACAAUUGGGCGAAAGCCUGAUCCAGCAAUGCCGCGUGUGUGAAGAAGGCCUUCGGGUUGUAAAGCACUUUUGUCCGGAAAGAAAUCCUUGGCUCUAAUACAGUCGGGGGAUGACGGUACCGGAAGAAUAAGCACCGGCUAACUACGUGCCAGCAGCCGCGGUAAUACGUAGGGUGCAAGCGUUAAUCGGAAUUACUGGGCGUAAAGCGUGCGCAGGCGGUUUGCUAAGACCGAUGUGAAAUCCCCGGGCUCAACCUGGGAACUGCAUUGGUGACUGGCAGGCUAGAGUAUGGCAGAGGGGGGUAGAAUUCCACGUGUAGCAGUGAAAUGCGUAGAGAUGUGGAGGAAUACCGAUGGCGAAGGCAGCCCCCUGGGCCAAUACUGACGCUCAUGCACGAAAGCGUGGGGGAGCAAAACAGGAUUAGAUACCCCUGGUAGUCCACGCCCUAAACGAUGUCAACUAGUUGUUGGGGAUUCAUUUCCUUAGUAACGUAGCUAACGCGUGAAGUUGACCGCCUGGGGAGUACGGUCGCAAGAUUAAAACUCAAAU
Molecule: ribosomal RNA, 562 nt
Filed under: uncultured bacterium
Lineage: Bacteria
Description: partial 16S ribosomal RNA
Rfam family: Bacterial small subunit ribosomal RNA
Source: RNAcentral